This 805-nucleotide ribosomal RNA is filed under the name Vibrio cholerae. RNAcentral's name for it is "partial 23S ribosomal RNA". It matches the Rfam family "Bacterial large subunit ribosomal RNA", at positions 379 to 1188 of the family's 2925-position model. The record is from RNAcentral. Lineage: Bacteria; Pseudomonadati; Pseudomonadota; Gammaproteobacteria; Vibrionales; Vibrionaceae.
CCGUAACCGACGCUUCAUCGAGCGUGAAAUCGAGUAGGGCGGGACACGUGAUAUCCUGUCUGAAUAUGGGGGGACCAUCCUCCAAGGCUAAAUACUCCUGACUGACCGAUAGUGAACCAGUACCGUGAGGGAAAGGCGAAAAGAACCCCUGUGAGGGGAGUGAAAUAGAACCUGAAACCGUGUACGUACAAGCAGUAGGAGCACCUUCGUGGUGUGACUGCGUACCUUUUGUAUAAUGGGUCAGCGACUUAUAUUCAGUGGCAAGGUUAACCGUAUAGGGGAGCCGUAGCGAAAGCGAGUCUUAACUGGGCGCUCAGUCUCUGGAUAUAGACCCGAAACCGGGUGAUCUAGCCAUGGGCAGGUUGAAGGUUGAGUAACAUCAACUGGAGGACCGAACCGACUAAUGUUGAAAAAUUAGCGGAUGACUUGUGGCUAGGGGUGAAAGGCCAAUCAAACUCGGAGAUAGCUGGUUCUCCCCGAAAGCUAUUUAGGUAGCGCCUCGGACGAAUACUACUGGGGGUAGAGCACUGUUAAGGCUAGGGGGUCAUCCCGACUUACCAACCCUUUGCAAACUCCGAAUACCAGUAAGUACUAUCCGGGAGACACACGGCGGGUGCUAACGUCCGUCGUGGAGAGGGAAACAACCCAGACCGCCAGCUAAGGUCCCAAAGUAUUGCUAAGUGGGAAACGAUGUGGGAAGGCUCAGACAGCUAGGAUGUUGGCUUAGAAGCAGCCAUCAUUUAAAGAAAGCGUAAUAGCUCACUAGUCGAGUCGGCCUGCGCGGAAGAUGUAACGGGGCUAAGCA